AGGAUGAACGCUGGCGGCGUGCUUAACACAUGCAAGUCGAACGGUGAAGCCAAGCUUGCUUGGUGGAUCAGUGGCGAACGGGUGAGUAACACGUGAGCAACCUGCCCUGGACUCUGGGAUAAGCGCUGGAAACGGCGUCUAAUACUGGAUAUGAGCCUCUUCCGCAUGGUGGGGGUUGGAAAGAUUUUUUGGUCUGGGAUGGGCUCGCGGCCUAUCAGCUUGUUGGUGAGGUAAUGGCUCACCAAGGCGUCGACGGGUAGCCGGCCUGAGAGGGUGACCGGCCACACUGGGACUGAGACACGGCCCAGACUCCUACGGGAGGCAGCAGUGGGGAAUAUUGCACAAUGGGCGAAAGCCUGAUGCAGCAACGCCGCGUGAGGGAUGACGGCCUUCGGGUUGUAAACCUCUUUUAGCAGGGAAGAAGCGAAAGUGACGGUACCUGCAGAAAAAGCGCCGGCUAACUACGUGCCAGCAGCCGCGGUAAUACGUAGGGCGCAAGCGUUAUCCGGAAUUAUUGGGCGUAAAGAGCUCGUAGGCGGUUUGUCGCGUCUGCUGUGAAAUCCCGAGGCUCAACCUCGGGCCUGCAGUGGGUACGGGCAGACUAGAGUGCGGUAGGGGAGAUUGGAAUUCCUGGUGUAGCGGUGGAAUGCGCAGAUAUCAGGAGGAACACCGAUGGCGAAGGCAGAUCUCUGGGCCGUAACUGACGCUGAGGAGCGAAAGGGUGGGGAGCAAACAGGCUUAGAUACCCUGGUAGUCCACCCCGUAAACGUUGGGAACUAGUUGUGGGGACCAUUCCACGGUUUCCGUGACGCAGCUAACGCAUUAAGUUCCCCGCCUGGGGAGUACGGCCGCAAGGCUAAAACUCAAAGGAAUUGACGGGGACCCGCACAAGCGGCGGAGCAUGCGGAUUAAUUCGAUGCAACGCGAAGAACCUUACCAAGGCUUGACAUACACCAGAACGGGCCAGAAAUGGUCAACUCUUUGGACACUGGUGAACAGGUGG
This 1003-nucleotide ribosomal RNA is filed under the name Microbacterium sp. RNAcentral describes it as "bacterial SSU rRNA". It matches the Rfam family "Bacterial small subunit ribosomal RNA", at positions 26 to 1041 of the family's 1533-position model. Lineage: Bacteria; Bacillati; Actinomycetota; Actinomycetes; Micrococcales; Microbacteriaceae. The record is from RNAcentral.